RNAcentral lists this ribosomal RNA (427 nucleotides) under uncultured bacterium. RNAcentral describes it as "partial 16S ribosomal RNA". It matches the Rfam family "Bacterial small subunit ribosomal RNA", at positions 354 to 796 of the family's 1533-position model. The record is from RNAcentral.
GUGGGGAAUAUUGGGCAAUGGGGGCAACCCUGACCCAGCGACGCCGCGUGGGUGAAGAAAUCCCUCGGGAUGUAAAGCCCUGUUGUAUGGGAAGAGCAGAAGACGGUACCAUACGAGGAAGCCCCGGCAAACUACGUGCCAGCAGCCGCGGUAAUACGUAGGGGGCAAGCGUUGUCCGGAAUUACUGGGCGUAAAGCGCACGCAGGCUGAAUUAUAAGUCGGUAGUCAAAUACGGAGGCUCAACUUCCGGAUAUCUAUCGAUACUGUAAAUCUAGAGUAUGUGAGAGGGAAGCGGAAUUCCCGGUGUAGCGGUGAAAUGCGUAGAUAUCGAGAGGAACACCAGUGGCGAAGGCGGCUUCCUGGCACAAUACUGACGCUCAUGUGCGAAAGCUAGGGCAGCGAACGGGAUUAGAUACCCCUGUAGUCC